RNAcentral lists this long non-coding RNA (295 nucleotides) under Homo sapiens (human). Its description in RNAcentral is "HSALNT0025462". Lineage: Eukaryota; Metazoa; Chordata; Mammalia; Primates; Hominidae. The record is from RNAcentral.
UGUGAUGCUUUUGAAGGCAAGAUUUAUGCCAUUUUGACCCAGCUCCAUGCAUCUUGUACUUGGCCCCCUUUCAUGCAUGGACAAAGGGGCUUUUCUAGUGUGGGAGAUCUGAAAGGAUGAGAUCCUGCUCCACAAGCAUGGAUGCCCACCCCUGGUUUUCUAAGAAGCCCACCUCUGCGUGCCAAGAGUGAUGCAUUCAUUUGGGGUCCACUUGGAGUUCAAGCGCAGGCCUGAUGUUUGUGGUGCACUUUGAAUCUUCUCUAGCUUCUUUCUGCCCAUAGCAUGUCUCUCAGCC